RNAcentral lists this ribosomal RNA (245 nucleotides) under uncultured bacterium. Its description in RNAcentral is "partial 16S ribosomal RNA". It matches the Rfam family "Bacterial small subunit ribosomal RNA", at positions 524 to 768 of the family's 1533-position model. The record is from RNAcentral.
UACGUAGGGUGCGAGCGUUGUCCGGAAUUACUGGGCGUAAAGAGCUCGUAGGUGGUUUGUCGCGUUGUUCGUGAAAUUCCCUGGCUUAACUGGGGGCGUGCGAGCGAUACGGGCAGACUAGAGUACUGCAGGGGAGACUGGAAUUCCUGGUGUAGCGGUGGAAUGCGCAGAUAUCAGGAGGAACACCGGUGGCGAAGGCGGGUCUCUGGGCAGUAACUGACGCUGAGGAGCGAAAGCGUGGGGAG